AGAGUUUGAUCAUGGCUCAGAAUGAACGCUGGCGGCAGGCCUAACACAUGCAAGUCGAACGGGCACCUUCGGGUGCUAGUGGCGGACGGGUGAGUAACGCGUGGGAACAUACCCUUUGGUACGGAAUAGCCUCGGGAAACUGAGAGUAAUACCGUAUGUGCUCGCAAGAGGAAAGAUUUAUCGCCAAAGGAUUGGCCCGCGUUGGAUUAGGUAGUUGGUGGGGUAAUGGCCUACCAAGCCGACGAUCCAUAGCUGGUUUGAGAGGAUGAUCAGCCACACUGGGACUGAGACACGGCCCAGACUCCUACGGGAGGCAGCAGUGGGGAAUCUUAGACAAUGGGGGAAACCCUGAUCUAGCCAUGCCGCGUGAUCGAUGAAGGCCUUAGGGUUGUGAAGAUCCUUCAGAUGGGAAGAUAAUGACGGUACCAUCAGAAGAAGCC
This 440-nucleotide ribosomal RNA is filed under the name uncultured Pseudorhodobacter sp. Its description in RNAcentral is "bacterial SSU rRNA". It matches the Rfam family "Bacterial small subunit ribosomal RNA", at positions 8 to 492 of the family's 1533-position model. The record is from RNAcentral. Lineage: Bacteria; Pseudomonadati; Pseudomonadota; Alphaproteobacteria; Rhodobacterales; Paracoccaceae.